GCGUUUGGUUGUGUAACCCACUUAGAAAAAGCAUUUAAUUUUCCUACUGGCAAUUAAAGGGUUAAUUUUUCCUUUGCGGUAGAGAUGGUUUGGCCCUCCAGGCAUACCAUGCAGGGCUCUGUGGAGGGUGCCAUCUUGUGUCUGCGUGUUUUUUUUCUUGCAAGCACGAGGCAGAGAAGGAGCUGCGUGACCAGCAGAGAAAGAUCGGCAGUGUUAUAGACGGAAGAAGAAAAAUAAGUUGAAGAAUUAAAAGAAGCUACUUUUUGUUUUUUGAGAUCGGUUACGUUGUGUGCCGAAAGAACAUUUUCAGAGCGGCUACGUUGUGAACGCGUGUCGUGUUUAAGAAUUCUUGGAAACUCCGAAUUGUUUUGAUGACCCUCAAUUGUAGCUCGGACUACAAUUCUUCGUUGGAAGUGGAUGGCGAGCCAGGCGUAGAACGAGAGUAUCCUGUUGAAGAUUGACGUACAGUGUGGCCAGCUGUUACUGAUUCCCAUCAACAGGAUUUAACCCAAUCCGACAGGACAAGAGAUAAGGAAUAUUCCUAUACACAUUCAUUUAUCCUACCCGGGUAGAGAACAAAUUGAGUGCACAAACGAGACAAAGGACAAUUUAUUUUAUACUAUUUUUUAUAAAGCUGAUUUAUUUUGUAAAAGAAUUCAGUUUUAGGAACAAAUUAUUGUUUAUGUUGUUUUUCUAUUUUGUGUUGUGAAAGGUAAUGUAAUAAACCUGCCCUCUGUUAUUUAAA
Long non-coding RNA from Oryzias latipes (Japanese medaka), 745 nucleotides. RefSeq lists it as uncharacterized. The record is from RefSeq and is a predicted model, not a curated record. NCBI's taxonomy places the organism in Eukaryota, Metazoa, Chordata, Actinopteri, Beloniformes, Adrianichthyidae.